GACGAACGCUGGCGGCGUGCCUAAUACAUGCAAGUCGAGCGGCAAGUCGAGGAGUAAUCUGAGACCUAGAGCGGCGUACGGGUGCGUAACGCGUAUGCAACCUACCUCAUACAGGGGGAUAGCCCGGAGAAAUCUGGAUUAAUACCCCAUAGCACAGCACAAGGGCAUCUGCGAGCUGUUAAAGAUUCAUCGGUAUGAGAUGGGCAUGCGUCUGAUUAGCUAGUUGGCGGUGUAACGGACCACCAAGGCGACGAUCAGUAGGGGUUCUGAGAGGAAGGUCCCCCACACUGGCACUGAGAUACGGGCCAGACUCCUACGGGAGGCAGCAGUAGGGAAUAUUGGGCAAUGGACGAGAGUCUGACCCAGCCAUGCCGCGUGCAGGAAGAAGGCCUUCUGGGUUGUAAACUGCUUUUAUCUGGGAAGAAAAGGCCCAUGCGUGGGACAUUGCCGGUACCAGAUGAAUAAGCACCGGCUAACUCCGUGCCAGCCGCCGCCGUAA
This 499-nucleotide ribosomal RNA is filed under the name uncultured bacterium. Its description in RNAcentral is "partial 16S ribosomal RNA". It matches the Rfam family "Bacterial small subunit ribosomal RNA", at positions 28 to 523 of the family's 1533-position model. The record is from RNAcentral.